UACGUAGGGGGCUAGCGUUGUCCGGAAUCAUUGGGCGUAAAGCGCGUGUAGGCGGUCCGGUAAGUCCGCUGUGAAAGUCGGGGGCUCAACCCUCGGAUGCCGAUCGAUACUGUCGGGCUAGAGUCCGGAAGAGGCGAGUGGAAUUCCUGGUGUAGCGGUGAAAUGCGCAGAUAUCAGGAGGAACACCAGCGGCGAAGGCGGCGCUCUGGGCCGGUACUGACGCUGAGGAGCGAAAGCGUGGGGAGCAAACAGG
This 253-nucleotide ribosomal RNA is filed under the name uncultured bacterium. RNAcentral describes it as "partial 16S ribosomal RNA". It matches the Rfam family "Bacterial small subunit ribosomal RNA", at positions 524 to 776 of the family's 1533-position model. The record is from RNAcentral.